UACAGAGGGCGCAAGCGUUAUUCGGAUUCACUGGGCGUAAAGCGCACGUAGGCGGCUCUGCAAGUCGGUUGUGAAAUCCCCGGGCUCAACCUGGGAACUGCGACCGAGACUGCAUUGCUAGAGUAUGGGAGAGGAAAGCGGAAUUUCUGGUGUAGCAGUGAAAUGCGUAGAUAUCAGAAGGAACAUCAGUGGCGAAGGCGGCUUUCUGGACCAAUACUGACGCUCAGGUGCGAAAGCGUGGGGAGCAAACAGG
Molecule: ribosomal RNA, 253 nt
Filed under: uncultured bacterium
Lineage: Bacteria
Description: partial 16S ribosomal RNA
Rfam family: Bacterial small subunit ribosomal RNA
Source: RNAcentral